GGCUGUUCUCGGGUGACGCACUUCAGAAUUUGUUUACCUCCUCUCUGGUUCUGGGGUGCAUCAUCUGAGAACCACC
Molecule: non-coding RNA, 76 nt
Organism: Myotis brandtii (Brandt's bat)
Lineage: Eukaryota; Metazoa; Chordata; Mammalia; Chiroptera; Vespertilionidae
Source: Rfam